RNAcentral lists this transfer RNA (93 nucleotides) under Streptomyces eurythermus. RNAcentral's name for it is "tRNA-Leu". Lineage: Bacteria; Bacillati; Actinomycetota; Actinomycetes; Kitasatosporales; Streptomycetaceae. The record is from RNAcentral.
CCGGCGUUCGGUGCGGGCCGGGGCCCUCGGUACAAGGCCGGGGGCCCUCGGCGGGCCGGUGCCGGGCCCCCGGUACGGGCCCGGGCCCCCGGC